AAAAAAAACAGAGGAGAGAGAGAGAUCCAUGGAGAUUUGGAGCUCCCCUGUCCCUCGAUUCGCUAGGGUGCCCCGGCGUCCAGCGCUCUCCCUCCGGCCGCCCAAGCCCCUCCGGCUUCUCUGAUGUCCGCGUCGGAGGGGCAGCAUAUCUCGGCCACCGUACCCAACCCCGGCCUCCAUUUCCCCCGCCGGCAUUUAUGGUCCUGUGAUGGUGUUUUAUGGAUAGUUGCAUGAUAAUGUCUGGGAAUUGUUUAAUCUAUGGGUAGACUCGGGAAGUGUUUUGGUAAGGGUAUUCAUUCUGCUUGUUCCGAAGAGCAAGGUGAUUCAGAUGGUGAUCCUUUUGUGCCCAAUGAUUUUGCUGAGGACGAUUCUUUCCAAGUUUCCGAGGAUGGUGAAAUGGAUAACCCUGAGUGUGAAAAAGCUUAUAUGAUUUCUAUGUGUCCCACAUUUCUUCGGGCAGGAGAGAGACGAUAGGAGGUGAUGAAUGCAUAGGAGGGGGGAGAGGGAUGUUUUCCUUGUGUUUUUCCUACUUCUCCAGCCAUGUUGUUGAUGUUUGUCUCCCAGAUCUUGGAGGAAUCGCCCUCACUGGUGGCGCUUCUCCAUGUUCGUCCUCCUAUAUGUGGUUGUACUUGUACCAGUGCAUUUUGUCAGUGUAGUUAACUUUGUUUAGUGAAUUUUACACUGUAAAGCUGAUAAAAUUACAGUGUAUUUAUUACUGGUUUUACAGUGUUUUUAUAAGUGGAUUUGCACUGUAGUUCCUAUCUGGACUUACACUGUAAUUCUUCUCUAAGUUUACAAUGUAAUUUUGGCUGGUUUUACGGUGUAGUUCUUUGUCGAUA
This is a long non-coding RNA of Triticum dicoccoides, 839 nucleotides long. RefSeq lists it as uncharacterized. Lineage: Eukaryota; Viridiplantae; Streptophyta; Magnoliopsida; Poales; Poaceae. The record is from RefSeq and is a predicted model, not a curated record. The transcript is spliced from 5 exons.